RNAcentral lists this long non-coding RNA (1834 nucleotides) under Triticum aestivum (bread wheat). RNAcentral describes it as "long non-coding RNA (TAES_LNC020635)". Lineage: Eukaryota; Viridiplantae; Streptophyta; Magnoliopsida; Poales; Poaceae. The record is from RNAcentral.
CAUGCAUCAUACUUGAUUGUGCAUCAUGACAUGAUUAUGUGAUGGUUGUUUACUAUGUUGUUUGCUCCUUUCCGGUGUUGCUUCUUCGGGUUGGUUCCGAUAACGUCGCAUUGUGAGGAUCCGUUCGACUUUGUCCGUUUGUCUUCUUCAUGGACUCGUUCUUCUUCCUUGCGGGAUCUCAGGCAAGAUGACCAUACCCUCGAAAUCACUUCUAUCUUUGCUUGCUAGAUGCUCGCUCUUUUGCUAUGCCUAUGCUGUGAUACCUACCACUUGCUUAUCAUGCCUCCCAUUUUGUUAAGCCAAGCCUCUAACCCACCUUGUCCUAGCAAACCAUUGUUUGGCUAUGUUACCACUUUGCUUAGCCCCUCUUAUAGCGUUGUUAGUUGCAGGUGAAGAUUGGAGUUUGUUCCUUGUUGGAACAUGGAUAUUUUGUUGGGAUAUCACAAUAUCUCUUAUUUAAUUAAUGCAUCUAUAUACUUGGUAAAGGGUCGAAGGCUCGGCCUUAUGCCUGGUGUUUUGUUCCACUCUUGCCGCCCUAGUUUCCGUCAUAUCGGUGUUAUGUUCCCGGAUUUUGCGUUCCUUACACGGUUGGGUUACAAUGGGAACCCCUUGACAGUUCGCCUUGAAUAAAACUCCUCCAGCAAUGCCCAACAUUGGUUUUACCAUUCGCCACCUAGCCUCUUUUCCAUUGGGAGUCAUGCUCCCGAGGGUCAUCAUUAUUUUAACCCCCCCAUGCUAGUGCUCCUCUAAGUGUUGGUCCAAACUAGAGCCCUGUGCAGCGCCCCCUCGGGGAAACUCGAGGUUUGGUUUUAGUUGUAUGGAGUGCUCAUCUGAGUGUGCCCUGAGAACGAGAUAUGUGAAGCUCCUAUCGGGAUUUUUCGGCACAUUCGGGCGGUGUUGCUGGACUUGUUUUACCAUUGUCGAGGAUGUCAUGUAACCGAGAUGCCGAGUCUGAUCGGAUUGUCUUGGGAGAAGGAAUAUCCUUCGUUGACCGUGAGAGCUUGUGAUGGGCUAAGUUGGGACACUCCUGCAGGGAUUUGAACUUUCGAAAGUCGUGCCCGCGGUUAUGGGCAGAUGGGAAUUUGUUAAUGUCCAUUUGUAGAAAACCUGAAACUUAACUUAAUUAAAAUGCAUCUACCGCGUGUGUAAGCGUGAUGGUCUCUUUCCGGCGGAGUCCGGGAAGUGAACACGGUGUUGGAGGUAUGCUUGAUGUAGGUUGUUCUGGGAUCACUUCUUGAUCAUAGUUGUUCGACCGUGCCUUUGCCUUCUCUUCUCGUUGUCAUUUGCGUAUGUUAGCCACCAUAUAUGCUAGUCGCUUGUUGCAGAUCCACCUCAUACAUUUUACCUUACCUAUAAGCUUAAAUAGUCUUGAUCGCGAGGGUGUGAGAUUGCUGAGUCCCCGUAACUCACAGAUACUUCCAAAACCAGUUUGCAGGUGUCGAUGUACCGAGCAGGUGAUGCAACCAAGCUCAAGGACGAGAUCAAUGAAGAUCUUGUCCUUUGUGUUGUUUCGUUCUAGUUGAUCAGUAGUGGAGCCCAGUUGGGGUCGAUCGGGGAUCUGUGUAGCAUUUGGGGUAGUCUUCUUUUAUUUUGGUUCCGUAGUCGGACCUUGAGUGUAUUUGGAUGAAUGUAAUGCUUUAUUCAUGUAUUGUGUGAAGUGGCGAUUGUAAGCCAACUAUGUAUCUAUUUUCCCCUUAAUGUAUUACAUGGGUUGUUGUGAAGAUUACCUCACUUGCGACAUUGCUUUCAAUGCGGUUAUGCCUCUAAGUCGUGCUUCGACACGUGGGAGAUAUAGCCGCAUCGAGGGCGUUACACAUGUGAUGUUUAUCUUUUA